This 253-nucleotide ribosomal RNA is filed under the name uncultured bacterium. RNAcentral's name for it is "partial 16S ribosomal RNA". It matches the Rfam family "Bacterial small subunit ribosomal RNA", at positions 524 to 776 of the family's 1533-position model. The record is from RNAcentral.
GACGAACUGUGCAAACGUUAUUCGGAAUCACUGGGCUUAAAGGGUGCGUAGGCGGCUCGUUAAGUAGGGUGUGGAAUCCCCCGGCUCAACCGGGGAACUGCGCCCUAAACUAGCGGGCUGGAGUGAGGCAGGGGUGUGUGGAACUUCCAGUGGAGCGGUGAAAUGUGUUGAUAUUGGAAGGAACGCCGGUGGCGAAAGCGACACACUGGGCCUUGUCUGACGCUGAGGCACGAAAGCCAGGGGAGCAAACGGG